GAAGGAAUGGGGGAACAAGAAACAUGAGCCUAUUCAGAACUAUGAAGUACUGAGGACUCCAGGACUACAAGUCCACAGUGAAGUAUCUGGAGGGUGGGCAAAGUGAUCAUCGUGGACAGAGUAAACCACACUGAAUUCAUGUUGUGGGAAGGAAGUAACCAUUGAUGGGCAUGGAAAUGAAAAAGUCAGAGUUCAUCUGGCUCCACCUUCUGAGGAGCUGGAGGAAGAAUAGAAGGUACAUCUUGGGUAGGGAAAUCUAUGUUGAAGACAUUGAAGGCCUGAUCCUAAGUAAGAGUGCCUAACUGGAAAGAAAUGCUGAUUUUCUAUAGGCCACUCCAAGAUAAAACCUGAUCAACAACAGCUGGAAGACCAUACAUAAUCAGCAAACAUUUCAAGAAAAAAAAUUUCAGAUGUGAUGUUGAAAGAAAUUGGAGGAAGAACAGAACUAUCUAUUCGAGUAGCUUAAAGAGGAAGUACAGCUUUUUCAAUGCAGUCUAAAGCAUUCAGACAUUCAGUGUCACCAAAUCUGAUAAAUUAAUGCAGUACUUCAAAGGGCAUUUAAUUCAAGAAUGCAGGAAGUAAUUCUUCAGGUGAGAAUCUGAUCAAAUUGUAAAGGAAAAUCAUGACAUUAGAACCAUGUAGGACUAUACAGUGGGCUUUGGGAACACUAAAA
Molecule: long non-coding RNA, 673 nt
Filed under: Mus musculus (house mouse)
Lineage: Eukaryota; Metazoa; Chordata; Mammalia; Rodentia; Muridae
Description: predicted gene 45037
Source: RNAcentral